This 117-nucleotide non-coding RNA is filed under the name Nomascus leucogenys (northern white-cheeked gibbon). The record is from Rfam by way of RNAcentral. Lineage: Eukaryota; Metazoa; Chordata; Mammalia; Primates; Hylobatidae.
GCCGGGCGUGGUGGCUCAUGCCUGUAAUCCUAGCACUUUGGGAGGCCGAGGCGGGUGGAUCACCUGAGGUCAGGAGUUCAAGACCAGCCUGACCAACAUGGAGAAACCCCGUCUCUA